GAAAGGAAGUCACAUCUCUAACAAAGACCUAUAAAUGUGAGAUAAAAUUGGAUUGGGAGAUGUUUUGAUUUGACAUUUUCUUUGCCAUUGUGCAUGAAUACAAUGAUUAUAACUAUUUACUGCUUUGCUUUAGCUGGCACAGCAUUAUUUACAAUGUAAAUAUGAUAUGUACAUUUCAUCCCUUGUAAACAUAUGGUAAACUUGUAAGUCAUUUGGAGAUGUGGCAAUGGUACAUUGGAUUGCUUUUAUUUGCCCUACAGGCAUAUAUUUUUAUUUAUGUUUUACAUCUCAUCACAGGUGUAUCAGCUAUACUUCUACAAAGUGGAUGCCUGGGAAUACAGUGACCUAGAACCUUGACAGUGCUACAAUGCCUUCAGCUGUCUGUAAAAUCAUUCACCCCUGGUGGAACAGUUGCUAACAGGAAAGCUGCUUGAAGGUGGAGAGAAUGUCCUCAUGGAUUUCCAUGUGAGGUUGAAAUAGGGAGUAUGAUCAUCCACCUAGGGAGAAACAGCUGUAGUGGUGCCAUAGAGUCAUCAACCCAUUAUAAGUAGCAGAAAACAGCAUUUACUGUUGUGUA
Molecule: long non-coding RNA, 577 nt
Organism: Saccostrea cuccullata (small rock oyster)
Lineage: Eukaryota; Metazoa; Mollusca; Bivalvia; Ostreida; Ostreidae
Exons: 3
Source: RefSeq, a predicted model, not a curated record